GAGGGACGUAACACUUCUGCAUGCAGAUUCUCGCGUCGUUAACGCCCUCUUUUCACUUGCGGGCUUGUGAUUGGUCGGACCGACACAGUAUUUAAAAUACUCGACAGUGAUUGGACAGUCGCUUACACAAGCGCUUGUGUAAGGCGGCUGCAUUGAAGUUGUGUAAGGAGCAAAUAUACACCGUAGAAAACACCAAUCACACAUCAUUUCCCAAGCUCUUGAGACAAGCCACGUAUUGGAAACUCUAAAAGCGUGGAGAUGAGGAUGUGGUGUGCAUGUCUUCUGGGUUUGGCUCUGUCAGCUCUCUCUCAAGCUCAGCCCAUGUUCUCCGUCACCACGGAUACGGUUCUGCCUCCUGAUACUGUUCACAACCCCACCCAGCGGAAUUAUGGGAUGGCGGUGACGGAUGUAGAUGGAGACGGGGAUCUGGAGGUGGUGGUGGCCGGGUAUAAUGGCCCAAACCUGGUUCUGAAGUAUGACCGUACACAAAACAAGCUCGUGAACAUAGCGGUGGAUGACCGUGGUUCUCCUUACUUCGCGCUGAGAGACCCGCAGGGGAACGCCAUCGGAGUGACGGCCUGUGAUGUGGACGGAGACGGCAGAGAGGAGAUCUACUUCCUCAACACCAACAACGCCUUCUCAGGUCGGGCGACUUAUGCUGACAAACUGUUCAAGUAUCGUAACGGACGCUUCGAGGAUCUGCUCGGGGAUGACAUCAACGUGCGCAGAGGCGUGGCCAAUCGCAUGGCGGGACGCUCCGUGGCUUGUGUCGACAGAAAGGGAACAGGUCGAUACUCGAUCUACGUGGCGAACUAUGCCAGUGGUAACGUGGGUCCUCACGCGCUCAUAGAGAUGGACGAAGCUGCCAGUGACGUCGAGAAAGGCAUCAUUGCGCUGACUGAUGUUGCACCACAAGUCAACGUCAAUAAGUUCACAGGUGGCCGUGGUGUCGUUGUCGGUCCAAUCCUCAGCGACACAAGGUCUGACAUUUUUUGCGACAAUGAAAAUGGACCCAACUUCCUGUUCAAGAACAACGGUGAUGGGACCUUCACAGACGUGGCCGCCAAGGCCGGAGUUGAAGACAGAUAUCAGCACGGGAGAGGUGUGGCGCUGGCCGACUUUAACGGCGAUGGAAAAACAGACAUAGUUUACGGCAACUGGAACGGUCCACACCGCCUCUACCUGCAGGACGCCCAGCAGAGAUUCAAGGAUGUCGCCACACAGGCCUUCGCCACUCCGUCACCCAUUCGCACCGUCAUCGCUGCAGACUUUGACAACGAUCUUCAGCUUGAAGUCUUCUUUAAUAACAUCGCUUACCAAGGAAACGCCCCCAACAGGAUCUUCAGGGUGUCGAGGAAGCUGAACUCUGACCCUGAGGUCACAGAGCUGGAUGUGGGCGACGCCUCUGAGCCUCAGGGGAGGGGCACAGGCGCAACAGUGACAGACUUUGACGGUGACGGUCUGCUGGAUCUGUUCGUGGCUCACGGGGAGAGCGCCUCUCAGCCCAUCUCUGUGUUUAAGGUCAACCAGGGCUCCUCUAAUAAGUGGCUGCGUGUGGUGCCACGAACACGUUUCGGUUCGUUCGCUCGUGGAGCAAAGGUGGUGAUGUUCACGAAACACAGCGGUGCACACACUCGCAUCAUUGACGGAGGAUCAGGAUAUCUGUGUGAGAUGGAGCCUGUGGCUCACUUUGGGUUAGGAACCGAUGAGGCCACCAGCAUUGAAGUCUUUUGGCCGGAUGGUCGCUCCAUCGCUCGGCCGCUCGAGUCCACUGACAUGAACACAGUCAUUGAGAUCGCAUAUCCUAAUGAGGGGGAGGAGUCAGCGCUCACAUCUGACGCACAGGUAUGACUGCAUGCAAAUGAGGAGGUGGGGUCAAUGCACACCUUACACAGACAGUGUGGAGAGGGAUUCACAGUCAACACAAACGGCCAUUGCAUUGCGAGAGCCUGAGUAUUUUCAGCUGGACACUGAGUCAUCAUCUCGUUAAAUCAGAGCUGUGCUGUCAGAUGUCCGAUACUGAACCAGUUAUUCAACAAACUCAACCACAGAUGCAAAACCUUCGUCUUUAGUGCCAAAUAUUUCCUGUAGUGCUAUUGAAAUUGAACACUUGUACUUCAUCCAUCACAUUUCUAAGAGUAACAUGAUAGUCAGCAUUAACUAAAUCUGAAAAUGUUUACGUCAGACACACUUGUUGCUUUUCUUUGUAUUUCCUUUUUUUUUUUUUUUUACUUGUUUACUCAAAGGUGGAAUGGUGUGUGUUACUAAUAAACCCCAGUCUGUGAGUGUGA
RNA transcript from Carassius gibelio (silver crucian carp), 2291 nucleotides. It is a transcript of the gene named cartilage acidic protein 1a, with no coding region annotated. The record is from RefSeq and is a predicted model, not a curated record. The transcript is spliced from 14 exons. Lineage: Eukaryota; Metazoa; Chordata; Actinopteri; Cypriniformes; Cyprinidae.